RNAcentral lists this ribosomal RNA (740 nucleotides) under uncultured archaeon. RNAcentral's name for it is "bacterial SSU rRNA". It matches the Rfam family "Archaeal small subunit ribosomal RNA", at positions 107 to 852 of the family's 1478-position model. The record is from RNAcentral.
AUCUGCCCUGAAGAAGAGAAUAAUCCCGGGAAACUGGGGGUAAUGCUCUAUAGUCCGGGAGGACUGGAAUGUUCUCCGGAUGAAAGAUCCGUCGCUUCAGGAUGAGUCUGCGGCCGAUUAGGUAGUUGUUGGGGUAAAAGCCCAACAAGCCUGUAAUCGGUACGGGUUGUGGGAGCAAGAGCCCGGAGAUGGAUUCUGAGACACGAAUCCAGGCCCUACGGGGCGCAGCAGGCGCGAAAACUUUACAAUGCGGGCAACCGUGAUAAGGAAACCCCGAGUGCCAGCACAGGCUGGCUGUCCACCAGUGUAAAAAACUGGUGAAGAAAGGGCCGGGCAAGACCGGUGCCAGCCGCCGCGGUAAUACCGGCGGCUCGAGUGGUGGCCGCUUUUACUGGGCUUAAAGGGUCCGUAGCUGGAUCCAUGGGUCCCUUGAGAAAUCCAUCAGCUUAACUGCUGGGCGUUCAGGGGAAACUGUGGUUCUAGGGACCGGGAGAGGUAAGAGGUACUGCCGGGGUAGGAGUGAAAUCCUGUAAUCCCGGUGGGACCACCUAUAGCGAAGGCAUCUUACCAGAACGGCUCCGACAGUGAGGGACGAAAGCUGGGGGAGCAAACCGGAUUAGAUACCCGGGUAGUCCCAGCUGUAAACGAUGCGCGUUAGGUGUGUCAGUGACCACGUGUCACUGAUGUGCCGAAGGGAAACCGUGAAACGCGCCGCCUGGGGAGUACGGUCGCAAGGCUGA